GAUGAACGCUAGCGGCGUGCCUAACACAUGCAAGUCGAACGUGAGAGGGUACUUGUAUCCUUGAAAGUGGCGGACGGGUGAGUAAGACGUAGGUGACCUGCCUCGAAGUGGGGGAUAACCAUUGGAACGAUGGCUAAUACCGCAUAAGCUGGUGAUGAUGGGAAUUGUUAUCAGGAAAGCUUUAGUUGCUUUGAGAGGGGCCUACGGCCGAUUAGCUAGUUGGUGAGGUAAAGGCUCACCAAGGCGAUGAUCGGUAGCUGGUCUGAGAGGACGAUCAGCCACACGGGAACUGAGACACGGUCCAGACUCCUACGGGAGGCAGCAGUGGGGAAUUUUGGACAAUGGGGGCGAACCCUGAUCCAGCCAUGCCGCGUGAGUGAAGAAGGCC
This 388-nucleotide ribosomal RNA is filed under the name uncultured bacterium. RNAcentral describes it as "bacterial SSU rRNA". It matches the Rfam family "Bacterial small subunit ribosomal RNA", at positions 28 to 416 of the family's 1533-position model. The record is from RNAcentral.